UGCCAGCCGCCGCGGUAAUACGGAUGGUGCGAGCGUUAAUCGGAAUCACUGGGCAUAAAGAGCACGUAGGCGGCGGCGUAAGUCAGUGGUGAAAUCCCUCGGCUCAACCGAGGAACUGCCAUUGAUACUGCGUGGCUGGAGUGCGGGAGGGGCAGACGGAAUUCCAGGUGGAGCGGUGAAAUGCGUAGAUAUCUGGAGGAACGCCGGAGGCGAAAGCGGUCUGCUGGCCCGUAACUGACGCUGAGGUGCGAAAGCUAGGGGAGCAAACAGGAUUAGAUA
Molecule: ribosomal RNA, 279 nt
Filed under: uncultured bacterium
Lineage: Bacteria
Description: partial 16S ribosomal RNA
Rfam family: Bacterial small subunit ribosomal RNA
Source: RNAcentral